RNAcentral lists this ribosomal RNA (255 nucleotides) under uncultured bacterium. RNAcentral describes it as "partial 16S ribosomal RNA". It matches the Rfam family "Bacterial small subunit ribosomal RNA", at positions 524 to 776 of the family's 1533-position model. The record is from RNAcentral.
UACGAAGGGGGCUAGCGUUGCUCGGAAUCACUGGGCGUAAAGGGCGCGUAGGCGGACUUUUUAAGUCAGGGGUGAAAUCCUGAGGCUCAACCUCAGAACUGCCUUUGAUACUGAGGGUCUCGAGACCGGUAGAGGUAAGUGGAACUGCGAGUGUAGAGGUGAAAUUCGUAGAUAUUCGCAAGAACACCAGUGGCGAAGGCGGCUUACUGGACCGGUUCUGACGCUGAGGCGCGAAAGCGGUGGGGAGCGAACAGG